AACGAACGCUGGCGGCAGGCUUAACACAUGCAAGUCGAACGAGUGUAGCAAUACACUAGUGGCGCACGGGUGAGUAACACGUGGAUAUCUGCCUUUUGGUUCGGGAUAACCCUGGGAAACUAGGGCUAAUACCGAAUGGUUCCUACGGGAUAAAGAUUUAUCGCCAAAAGAUGAGUCCGCGUCCGAUUAGCUAGUUGGUGAGGUAAUGGCUCACCAAGGCGACGAUCGGUAGCNGGUCUGAGAGGAUGGCCAGCCACAUUGGGACUGAGAGACGGCCCAGACUCCUACGGGAGGCAGCAGUGGGGAAUCUUGCGCAAUGGCCGAAAGGCUGACGCAGCGACGCCGCGUGUGGGAGGACGCCUUUCGGGUGUAACCAACUG
Molecule: ribosomal RNA, 380 nt
Filed under: uncultured bacterium
Lineage: Bacteria
Description: bacterial SSU rRNA
Rfam family: Bacterial small subunit ribosomal RNA
Source: RNAcentral